AGUAACGCGUAGGUAACCUGCCCUAGUGACUGGGAUAACUCUGUGAAAACGGGGCUAAUACCGGAUAAUAUCUACUUUCUCUGGAAUUUAGAUCAAAGUAGGCUUCGGCUUACACAUUAGGAUGGGCCUGCGUCUGAUUAGCUUGUUGGUAAGGUAAUGGCUUACCAAGGCUACGAUCAGUAGGUGGUUCGAGAGGAUGAUCACCAACACUGGGACUGAGAUACGGCCCAGACUCCUACGGGAGGCAGCAGUAAGGAAUUUUGCGCAAUGGCCGAAAGGUUGACGCAGCAACGCCGCGUGAUUGAAGAAGGUUUUAGGACUGUAAAGAUCUGUCAUAAGGGAAGAACAGUAUUUAUUCUAACAAAUUAUUUACUUGACGGUACCUUAUAAGAAAGCUCCGGCUAACUUCGUGCCAGCAGCCGCGGUAAUACGAGGGGAGCAAGCGUUGUCCGGAUUUAUUGGGCGUAAAGAGUUCGUAGGCUGAUUUAUAAGUCGAAAUUGAAAUCCAAUGGCUUAACCAUUGACACGGUUUCGAUACUGUAAAUCUUGAAUUAUGCAGAGGUAAGUGGAAUUCCUGGUGUAGCGGUGAAAUGCGUAGAUAUCAGGAGGAACACCAAAGGCGAAGGCAACUUACUGGGCAUCAAUUGACGCUGAGGAACGAAAGCGUGGGUAGCAAACAGGAUUAGAGACCCUGGUAGUCCACGCCGUAAACGAUGAGUACUUGGUGGUGGAAGAUUCGACCCUUUCACUGUCGGAGUAAACGCGUUAAUA
RNAcentral lists this ribosomal RNA (771 nucleotides) under uncultured Fibrobacteres/Acidobacteria group bacterium. Its description in RNAcentral is "bacterial SSU rRNA". It matches the Rfam family "Bacterial small subunit ribosomal RNA", at positions 109 to 866 of the family's 1533-position model. Lineage: Bacteria; Pseudomonadati. The record is from RNAcentral.